GAACAAGAAGGAGCAUGCUUUUAUAUUGCACAUGGAUUCUAUUCUACUUUUUGGGUAAGAGGGUUUUAAGACUUUAAUCAGAUUCAGUCAGGAAAGUAUUAUCACCAGUCACUCACUAUCUCUUCUCUGAAUUACAGGUGUCAAGUCUGACGUUCAGUUGUCACAGCCCAGUUUUCAUGCUGGAAUGUAUGGAGAAGACAUACUUAUAUCAUGUGAAGCUUCUGGAUAUGUGUUUACUGAUUUUUAUCUGGCAUGGCUCAAGCAUGUUCCAGGGAAAGAGCUUCAGUAUAUAGGAUAUAUCUGGCCUUCUUCUCAAUCACACAGAGCAUUUGUGGAAAAUAUCAGAAUGACAACUAAUAAUGCAAACAGGAUGGGAUACCUGCAAAUAAAAAAUGUUAAUUUUGGAGAUACUGCUAUUUAUUACUGUGCUAGAGAAGCACAGUGCAUAUUCUCACCUU
Non-coding RNA from Pelobates cultripes (western spadefoot toad), 458 nucleotides. The record is from the annotation of a GenBank genome assembly. NCBI's taxonomy places the organism in Eukaryota, Metazoa, Chordata, Amphibia, Anura, Pelobatidae.